This 922-nucleotide ribosomal RNA is filed under the name uncultured bacterium. RNAcentral describes it as "bacterial SSU rRNA". It matches the Rfam family "Bacterial small subunit ribosomal RNA", at positions 73 to 990 of the family's 1533-position model. The record is from RNAcentral.
AGGUAGCUUGCUACUGGACCUAGCGGCGGACGGGUGAGUAAUGCUUAGGAAUCUGCCUAUUAGUGGGGGACAACAUCUCGAAAGGGAUGCUAAUACCGCAUACGUCCUACGGGAGAAAGCAGGGGACCUUCGGGCCUUGCGCUAAUAGAUGAGCCUAAGUCGGAUUAGCUAGUUGGUGGGGUAAAGGCCUACCAAGGCGACGAUCUGUAGCGGGUCUGAGAGGAUGAUCCGCCACACUGGGACUGAGACACGUCCCAGACUCCUACGGGAGGCAGCAGUGGGGAAUAUUGGACAAUGGGGGGAACCCUGAUCCAGCCAUGCCGCGUGUGUGAAGAAGGCCUUUUGGUUGUAAAGCACUUUAAGCGAGGAGGAGGCUACCGAGAUUAAUACUCUUGGAUAGUGGACGUUACUCGCAGAAUAAGCACCGGCUAACUCUGUGCCAGCAGCCGCGGUAAUACAGAGGGUGCAAGCGUUAAUCGGAUUUACUGGGCGUAAAGCGCGCGCAGGUGGCCAAUUAAGUCAAAUGUGAAAUCCCCGAGCUUAACUUGGGAAUUGCAUUCGAUACUGGUUGGCUAGAGUAUGGGAGAGGAUGGUAGAAUUCCAGGUGUAGCGGUGAAAUGCGUAGAGAUCUGGAGGAAUACCGAUGGCGAAGGCAGCCAUCUGGCCUAAUACUGACACUGAGGUGCGAAAGCAUGGGGAGCAAACAGGAUUAGAUACCCUGGUAGUCCAUGCCGUAACGAUGUCUACUAGCCGUUGGGGCCUUUGAGGCUUUAGUGGCGCAGCUAACGCGAUAAGUAGACCGCCUGGGGGAGUACGGUCGCAAGACUAAAACUCAAAUGAAUUGACGGGGGCCCGCACAAGCGGUGGAGCAUGUGGUUUAAUUCGAUGCAACGCGAAGAACCUUACCUGGUCUUGACAUAGU